This 255-nucleotide ribosomal RNA is filed under the name uncultured bacterium. Its description in RNAcentral is "partial 16S ribosomal RNA". It matches the Rfam family "Bacterial small subunit ribosomal RNA", at positions 526 to 779 of the family's 1533-position model. The record is from RNAcentral.
CGUAGGUGGCGAGCGUUGUCCGGAUUUAUUGGGCGUAAAGGGAGUGUGGGCGGUCUUUUAAGUUCUGAUGUGAAAGCCCACGGCUCAACCGUGGAGGGUCAUUGGAAACUGGGAGACUUGAGUGCAGAAGAGGAGAGCGGAAUUCCAUGUGUAGCGGUGAAAUGCGUAGAUAUAUGGAGGAACACCAGUGGCGAAGGCGGCUCUCUGGUCUGUAACUGACGCUGAGGCUCGAAAGCGUGGGGAGCAAACAGGAUU